AUACGGAGGAUCCGAGCGUUAUCCGGAUUUAUUGGGUUUAAAGGGAGCGUAGAUGGAUGUUUAAGUCAGUUGUGAAAGUUUGCGGCUCAACCGUAAAAUUGCAGUUGAUACUGGAUAUCUUGAGUGCAGUUGAGGCAGGCGGAAUUCGUGGUGUAGCGGUGAAAUGCUUAGAUAUCACGAAGAACUCCGAUUGCGAAGGCGGGCUGGCUAGGUGGAACUGGCAAUGAGGGGCGAAAGUGUGGGGAUCAAACAGGGGUAGAUACCCUGGUAGUCCACACGGUAAACGAUGAAUACUCGCUGUUUGCGAUAUACUGCAAGCGGCCAAGCGAAAGCGUUAAGUAUUCCACCUGGGGAGUACGCCGGCAACGGUGAAACUCAAAGGAAUUGGCGGGG
This 393-nucleotide ribosomal RNA is filed under the name uncultured bacterium. RNAcentral describes it as "partial 16S ribosomal RNA". It matches the Rfam family "Bacterial small subunit ribosomal RNA", at positions 523 to 918 of the family's 1533-position model. The record is from RNAcentral.